AAUCGGACAACCUGUUGUCGGGUUGCUGCCCUAAAAUUGGUGAUUUUAAGGAAAUUUUGCAGUUUUUGGUUAUUAUCUUGAAUACUAUUAUAGAUAGAGAUAAACUGUAAACAGCAAUAAUGUUCAGCAAAGUAAGAUCUACAAAUAAGUCAGCAUGAUCAAAAUUGUUAGAGGACCCCUUAAGGAGUUAUUGCCCUUUAUAGUCAAUAUUGAACAACUUUUCGUCAUUUUUGUAACUUGUAUAAAAAUCAUUUCUAAAACUACUUGGCCAAAUUUAACCAAACUUGGCCACAAUCAUAAUACUAGGGUAUCUUUUUUUUUUAAAAGUGUCUAAUGACCCUGCCUACCAACGAAGAUGGCCAACAUCUGUAAACACAUUAACAGGUGAGCGACACAGGCUCUUGAGAGCCUCUAGUUUUU
This 420-nucleotide long non-coding RNA is filed under the name Mytilus galloprovincialis (Mediterranean mussel). The record is from RNAcentral. Lineage: Eukaryota; Metazoa; Mollusca; Bivalvia; Mytilida; Mytilidae.